Molecule: unclassified non-coding RNA, 362 nt
Filed under: Hevea brasiliensis (rubber tree)
Lineage: Eukaryota; Viridiplantae; Streptophyta; Magnoliopsida; Malpighiales; Euphorbiaceae
Source: RNAcentral
GGACAAGCUUGUAGCGGAAGCUAUCCGCUAUAUCAUAUUCAAAACUCAUCAAAAUUCUGGAUGUCCAAUCAAAAGGGAAGAACUUACUCAGCUCAUAACGAAAAAUUAUCGGAAUCGUGGAUUGCCGGCUAUUGUGAUUGAAGAGGCUAAAAAGAAGCUGUCGAGCAUUUUUGGUUAUGAGUUGAGGGAACUUCAAAGAACGCGUCCUUCAUCCACUGGCCAAGCGCAUUCGUCCCAACAAAACGUUGCAGAUGCAAAAUCCUAUGUUCUCAUAAGCAAACUUCCAGCUGAUAUUUAUAGAAAGUAUGUUGAGGAUGUAAAUACAGCACACGUGACUGGUUUUACUUUUGUUGUAGUUAGUG